UAUCCGUAGGCGAACCUGCGGAAGGAUCAUUAUUGUAUAACCGAGGUGCGAGGGCUGUCGCUGACCCGAAAGGUCGUGCACGCCCGAGUGCCCUCACACACAUCCAUCUCACCCCUAUGUGCACCACCGCGUGGGUCCCCCUUUGGCUUGUUCGGAGGGGGGCUUACGUUUUCACACAAACUUUGUAUGCAGUGUAGAAUGUAUUUUUUGUUUUUGCGAUCACGCAAUCAAUACAACUUUCAACAACGGAUCUCUUGGCUCUC
Molecule: unclassified non-coding RNA, 263 nt
Filed under: plant metagenome
Description: partial contains small subunit ribosomal RNA, internal transcribed spacer 1, and 5.8S ribosomal RNA
Source: RNAcentral